RNAcentral lists this long non-coding RNA (7911 nucleotides) under Xyrichtys novacula (pearly razorfish). Lineage: Eukaryota; Metazoa; Chordata; Actinopteri; Labriformes; Labridae. The record is from RNAcentral.
CUCUUGUUCAAAUAUACUAACUCGACAGCACAUAAAUCUAUACCUGUUAACAAAAUCAUGAUUUUAUUGAUAAUUCGGCUCAAUAAAAACACCUUUACCUUUUCAUUUUACUACAGUAGAAGUUUAUUGGCCCAGCUUAUAGACUACAGAGGUGGAGAAACGCCCCCGCUUAAGUUUAUGUUUUCUUAGGAGUUAGAACAACUCUGAAUAUAGUACUAUGUCUGUGACCCUAUAUGUCCUGUUGAUGAAGUUAGGUGCUGUUCUGAGCAUUAUUUGUGGUUAUAGAGUGGUGUUUUGGUUGAGUGCGUGGCUCUCUGUAUUACUAUCCUGCGGUCGUUACUAAAGUUGGUAUAACUAGAGAAGUAAGCGGUCGGCAACAUUCAUCUCUGGAGGGGGGGUCUAACUCAGUGUGUUUGACCCUAAAUUAAUAUUACGCCGGAAUAUCCCUUUAAGUCAUUCACGUUAAUAUUAAUUGAAAAGGGGAAGGCAAAAGUUACUAGCAGCAGCUUUAAUUGUCAAUAACUAUUCACAGACACAGCUAUACUAGACCUCUCUUUUUCUCCAACUCGGACCAUGUUGCUAUAAAAACUUAUCACACAUUCACACUUAACUUCAAACCUAAAUGAAAUAUGGUUUCAUCUCAAUUUUAAAAGGGCACUUUUUUGAUUAAAAGAGUAAAAUUCAAUUUUAAAGGUGAUCUCUAAAUCAAAACCACCAAAUAUUUGUGCGAUCAAUGAUCCAAUUGGUGAAUAAAAUGUCUCAGCAAUAGAGUCGACUAACAAGAGAGUCACUGGCUGCAGACCUGCUUAAAAUCACAACAGUAUAACAGAAAGAUGAACAUCUACAGAUCAAAUAUCAGGAGAAACAGAAGUCUUCACCCUCAGACAUUAAACUAGCAGGGAUUAUCUCUACAAUCCUCCAUCAUGGCCAUAAAUCCUGAUGUUAGUGGACUUUCUAAUCCUUAAGAACUUUUUGGUGCUCACCAACACACAGGAAGAAAACCAGGUUCUUAUUUUCAAAGCCGCAUUCUACCAAAUGUCCAGGAGAGGGCGACUGUGCAGUCUGCAAAAAGCCAAAACAUGCCAUGCCAGUAUGUAACAGCCUCUCAGAGGCACUGCUGAGUUAAUAUUGAUGCAUGUUUGUACUUGAAUUAAAGCACUUAUAGUUACCUCACACUGUUGACAAAUUAAUAUCUGGCUCUGCAAGUUUAAUGAGAAAAUAUAAACAGACAAAAACCAAGAAAACUAAUUAUCACAGCUGUUUUGACCACAUGUUGUGAAGCUGCAUUCUUCAAAUGCAUUUCUGCCAGAGCCAGAUGUCUGUGAUCGUGCACAUGUGGUCUGUGUGAAUAUCAGAGUCCCAUUAGCAUGGAUAUUUCCUGCCGAGUAAAUGUGAGGAGGAAAAAAUCUGGAUCAGGUCGUUCAGAGUUUGAUGAGACAUUCAUGUUUGAGAACAGCUGGGAACAAAACACUGAAACGGUUUGAUUUCUGACGAUGGUUCGAGGUCAAUUUAACUCGAGAUGAAAACUGAUAACUUCUGAAUGUCACUCAAAAACCUCCUGAGAUAUUUUACUAAAGUAUGGGGACAAACUUUAUCAUGUUAAUAAUCUGAGGGUUUGUCAGGACAGUCUUUAGAGACUGUUUAGAUUUAUGUUUCAGAGGUCUGUCCCUCCCACUGGAUAGUCUCAGCAGGGCAGGUAAAGCGCAGGUAGAGUGGGGGACGGUCGGCAGAGGCAUUAAAGAGGCUCAGGUGUGACAGGUGUGUUUGGUGGCAUCACUGCAGGAGACCUCAGAGACAUCAGUGGUGAGAAGAUCCUAAUUUAAAUCAAAUUAACAGUUAAAAGAACUCUCAGUGACUGAGAGGUUGAGAAAUUUGAGUUUAUUGAUAAUCUAAGCCCUGUGCAUUUAAAAUAUGUUGAAACUAAUAUAGUUGUUUUCUAGUCGUUCUUAGUUGUUUAAAUUUAUGCAAGCCGUCACAGAGCGAUAGAUUUGAUUUAAAUCGACCCUAAAACUAAAUAUUAAGUUUCAGUUAAAAUGAAUUACAUAUUAAGUAUUUAGCAUAAUUUAAAAUAAUUAAAAAAUGUUAAAAAGGCAAAUUUAUUUUGAAAUGAAUUAGAAUGAUUUAAAAUAAUUAAAAAAAAAAGAUAGUUUACACAUUAAUUUAAUUUGUUUAAUUCUUAUAUUUAAUAACCCUUUUUUGAAAUUAGUACUGGAGUUAAUUUAUUUGUGCCUAUUUAAUGACGGCCUCACUUCAUUUAUUUCCUUUGAGUUUAUCAACCUGCUUCUGCACCGAUUAUCAUCUACAAUAAAAGAAAAUCAAAGCGAGCCGAGUCGUCCACAGUGUCCUCUGUGGAUCAGGCAAUGAUGCUGGAAAAAGGGGAAAUUUACCUCGACAGGGUUUAUUAUUGUUAAAAUGACCCAACACUCAAGUUUUUCACAUAAUCACAAAUGAUCUCAGAAUGGUCAAACUGAUCAAUAUAUCUGCUUUUUUAAUAAUGUGCAACUUCCAACCUGGAAAUUGGAUGAUUUAGUACCCACUUUUGUCCACUGGGUGGCAGUGUUGUACAGACAAAGACAACACCACAGAUUAAAGAAAAAGUGAUAACUUUGUAAUGACUAUAAUAUGAACAAAAACUGCUCUAUUCUGGGUCAGUUUGAGACUUAAAUAUCUAAAUUUAUCAUUUUUCAGGUCUGUCUAAUCCGUCAUGUUUCCUGUGAAGCACGAGCUCAUUAAAGAGUAUUCUGCAUGUUAAGGUGACUGAUUUCAUGAUGUCUGUCUGUAUUUAAGAGGACAUAUUUGAUAAAUGUGUAAUAUUACCCGGACGUUAUGACUAUGACAUCAGUGACUGUAUUUAAAGUCACCUUUAAUUGAAAAAUCCUGAUUGAUGCGUUUCAUGUGGAGUCAUUUCUGAGCGGAGACGCUUCCAAUCAUUUAAAUUUUAAGGUGACGCUCUUUGUCUGAUCUCUUCACCAUCAACAUCUCACCCACUUCAUUUCCGUCUCCCAGGAUGCACCGGGCCCCAGCCUGCAGCUCUUUUACGGUUGUGUAUUUCACCGGCUCUUUUACUACCACAGACACACAAUUAAAGUCUGCUGAACACACGCUUGCUGCCCGUCAGCGGGCUGCGGAUCCAUAAAACGCGUCUUUCUGUGAAAAACGAGUGGCCCAGUCAUCAUGGAAAGGAAGAGGAGAGGCAGAUAGAGAACCCAGAGUGAUCAGGGUUUUAUUCUGGGAUCUAUAAAGUCAGAGACCCCACAGCACCCCACCCCAAACUGGUCUCAUUUGACCUUGAGACUGAGGCGAAGGGGAGCCUGGCUUCUAAAAUAUCACACCUGAAGGCCGGAGCAGGUAUCAACCACAGACUGUACGAGUAAAGAUGGUCUCCUCUGUGACCGACUGAGAAAGAGAGAGUGAGGGGUCAGUAACCAAAGCUACUCUGACUUUAUCCUGUUUCCAAAAACACAAGAUUGAAAUUAUGGUCUCACUUGAUCAAAACCUCCAACAAUGAAAGACAGAAACAGCAACAAUCCUCCCACGAUCUGACAGUUCACCUGUUCCCCUCAACAUGACAACAAGAGGCUGUCACAGAGAAAACACACCUCAGCUCCAGCGUAGAGAUGCAGCUCUCACAGCAGCUCUAUACAGUGUUUGCACAGAAUCAUAAAUGUUGGUUUCUUCUUUGGCUUAAUGUGAACAUGGUUUCUGCCUCAGGAGGGCACUCCAGGAGUUUUUGACAUCUCCACAUCAGCAUCUCUUUUCUAGUUUACGCUCCAUUCUUACAAGAAUUAAAGAUACUGUCAUGAUCUAUCCUAAACUCUGGUGUCCGUCUCUUUUUCUAACCCCCUGACUCCAGAUGCCCCUCUAGAUGUCAGUGUGUUAAUGUAGUUAAAAAGCCUACACAGCCAAGCUACUGAACACAAAGUUUAUUUAUUAACAAAGUUAAACUACGCAGUAUUUCAUUUAAUAUUAUUUCAUUUACUCUAUUUCCAAUGAUCAAUGUUUAAAACAUUCAAUACUAAGUCCGGCUCGAGGUAAGUUUUGUUGCCCUUAAACUUCAGCAGUAGCUUUACCAAAGGUAUGCAGAAAAAAAGGCAUAAAAAGAUAAAACAAGCAAACAAAAAAAAGGAAAAAAAAAAAAAAAGAAAAAACAAGCAAAAAAAGCAAAAAAAAAACCUUUAGCAGUAGCUUUCCCAAAGGUAUGCAGGUUUUUUUCUCUUUUCAUAAUGGUAUUUUUAUUUAAAUUAAUAAGUGCAAACAAGGUAAAUUGUUUUUGCGUAAUUUUAACAUGAACAAUAGUACUGAAAAAGAUAAACGGUAUAAAAAAACAAGUAAAAAAAGCAAAAAAUAAAUAAAUAAAUAUAUAAAAGCAAUAAAACCCUACCAGAGGCAUGAAACCCCAGACAACACAGCUCCUGGGAUCACUGGGACACACAAACCCCUCACAUACACAAUCACUGUACACAACUACAGAUCACAUGUUACAGAUGCACAAACUUUUUACACCAAAAAUACCUUCAUAAUGAAGCAAAUAGUUGAUAUGAGACUUUGACACAGGAAUACUGCAAAAGUACACAGUAGAAGUACUUGAUAGUAACAGGACAUGUUGUCUGAAGUAUUCUGUCUAAUAGUCCAGGUGACUCGAACCACUAAUAUCAGGAAAGUUGUUUUUAUUUUCUUAUUGCUCCCCCCUCAAUUUACAGCUCCAUAUCAAUGCCUUUACCAUAAGCAUUCUAAUACAGGUGCACCCCAAACUGAGAGCCCGCUAGCUUGACUGCAGUGUGAGAGCCUGGUGGUUGGGGCCUGCACCCAUGGGGCCCGGCCGGGCACAGUCCUAAGAGGCAAGAUAGAACCAGCUUCCCAUGGGCUCACCACCCAUAAGAGGGGCCACCAAACCAAACCUUGCUCAGGGCCACCAAAAUCCACCAGCCGGCCCUGAAAGCACCGGGAUUUCUCUGACAACAUUACUGAUAUGAUGUAAAUUCAUUAUCAUGUCAUGAUAAAGUUCUUCUCAUCUUAAUAUAUCGAUGGUUCUGCUGGUGGGUUACUGACUGCGGACAUCUCGCGCCAAAAAAGCGCUCACACUGAGAACGCGCUCACUCAGAGGCCUACACACUCAGACCCCACAAACAUUCACAUAAAUCAACCAAAAAUCAUCCCCAUCAUCCUCCUUUCCUUCAAACUUCCCUCAGCCAGCCCUGCAGAGUUCACAUUUCUGAUUUCAUUCACUCAGACAUUCACACAAACCGCUUCAAACCGCUCUUACCUGGAGUUUGUUCAGGUGAGCUGCGUCCCCGCCGCUCCGCUCCGCUUCGAGCGCAAACAUUUGGACUGACGAAACCGGAACAGAGGAUUUCCGCCAUUUAAAUAGGUCACGUGAACAGCGGCGUUCAUAAUUUAGGUUUUUUUGUCACUUAAAGCCAAAAAACAGAAUUUGUUAUUUAGAAAAAAGCGAUAAUCGAUGUUUGUGUGGAUUUGGGGUGAAGAAACUUUGAUUGGCUCAAUAUGGAAGAGAUUUUGUAUUUUGGGGUUUCUUACAUAAUCAUAAGGCCCAGUGGGAGGAGCUACAGGUAUAAUAAGGUGUCUACAGUUCUUCUGUAAAGUCAUUCUGCAGCUGGACUCGGACAAGGUAAGACUGGAGAUGUUGUGUUCGCACUUUCACUCAGUUUAUCGGUGAUCGGUUUAUAUUUCUCUGCCGAUCGGAUCAUUCUCAUCAGUUCAAAUGUGCACUAAAAUGAAGAAAAACAAACAAACUUAACAAACUAAUGAAAAAGGACAAAGUUUGGUCUGAUCUGUUCUGAGAAAAUUCGCCCAAAUCUUGAGUUUGUUCCUGAAACAGCCCGAUAAACCGCCCCGAUCAGUCUGCUCCGGUUUCUGCGUGUUUCAUAUCAAACAUUCAGUCGGUGGUGAAGCAGCAGGAGAUGUUUUGGCACAUUUCCCUCAAAGUUAAACACACACACUCCUCUAAUUAUAAAACACAAUCUGCAAAGGUGAGCUGUUUACCAAAUUACGCACGAGGUUUUCCAUGAACGGAUUUGUGCAACAGAUGAGACGAUAAUCCGGAGAUAAUUCAACAAAAACAAACAACCUCAGAUGACCUGUUCGCGUUAGUCUGUCACUAUCACUGCUCCUGGUUUCUGUGCGGUUUCUGCACCUUCUCUGGAAACUUUUGCGCCUCUUUUUUUAAGUGCAGUUCACUCACGGAGCCGCUGAAUGGCGAGAGAGAGCUGAAUAUGCGAGAGUUAAAGUGGCUCCGUUUUCUCCCUUCAGUCCUCUCAGCUUAAAUCAUAUUUUAACGCGUUAAUACCUCUUCGUUUUACUGCGCAGUUUCUGUCCGAAUGACCCAGAAUUUAAUCCAGAAUAAUUCUGAUCCACAGAGAGACACACAGUGGAUUAUUUUGAACACCUGAGAGGUGCUCCUCUCACACCUGUAAACCCACGUCACAUGCAGAUGUCUGCUGUUGUUGCUCUUCUACUGUGACUUACACUUGUGUUUGAUUUGUGUGUUGGUUUUUGGUCAGUUUUGAUUUAUUUUUCAUGUGUUUGUAAAGUGGAAGAAUUCAGACUAUCAGUCCAACAAUUGAACAAUACGAGGUAAAAACACAAGUGAACAGAAGUCAAAGCAUUAUCAUGAAUUAGUAAUUGAACCAGGUAAAUAAAGUGUCUGCAAGCUCAAGAAACAUAUUUUUUUUAAUCUGAGGAAAUAUUUCUGAUCAUGAUUUAGUUUCUAAAAUCCUCUGACUGCUUUCAUUGUUGUUAUGCCAUAAAUGUACUUUUUCCUUACUCUUGAUUUGAACAAAAAUAUGACUGAAGUUUUUCUUCACGUGUAACCAUUAACCUCUUUAAACUGCAGCCAAGAUUCAAGCCGAUGAAGAAAUGGACACCAAAUCCACCUUUUACCUGAGGUAGUAUGUAAGAAUAUGUCCAGAUCUUGGUCUGAUCAUGUCCCUCUUUUCAUAGGAAUCCAGACCCUGGUGUCCUGAGGAGCCAAAGAUGGAGCCAACGACCACAAACAAGUCGGACCACGGCGUGCAGAGGUUGGUGACGGUGUGGGACUGUUGGCAGGAGGACAGAGGUGAGUCAUACUCAGCCAUCAAAAUGUCUCAAGACAUUUUUAUACAUCAAGGCAUCUUAAGACAACUUAAGACAAAAGUUUGAAGACAUCACCAUAUCUUAAGACAUCCCAGAGCAGAAAGUAGGAUUCACCCUGACAUAUUUUUGUGUCUGAAGACAUCUUAAGACACACUUGCUUUGUCUUUAGACAUCCACAUCUUCAGACGGUUUCAGACCUAGUCUGCAUGUCUCAAAGACAUGGUCAAGUUAUCUUGUUUCAGCUGGAGUAUUAUGAUGAUAAUGUUCUGGUAAUGGUCGAUUUAUAUUUUGCUUUAAAAUCUGUUUUAACUUUAAUCGCGUGUUAAAUGAUUAUAAUGAAAAUAACUUGCGGUAAUUUCAAUCUGUUGAAAGCCCUGCGUAACGGAGUUAAAAACAAAAAUACCUGAUCUUAAAAAUGCUAAAAGCUAAAAAUGCUAAAAAUGAUUUUAUUUCUGAAUGAAUUUCUUCAUGGAAAUACAAUCAGACCGAGACGCUAAGACAGAAGAACUACUGCGUCUGUAAAAUGAUUAAUAUGGUGAUUAUUACUUCAGUGAUCAAGAAAUGAUCAUAAAUGUUCUUCCUUGAGCUGCGGCACCCCGCUGUAGUCCGUAAUGGACUGGCCUGAGGUCUCGCUACAAACAAGCGGCUGCUGGAAGAGAGUAGGUGAGUUGUGUUUAGUCUCUUUGCUAAAGAAAUUAGUCAAAGUUAAAAAGAUGUUUGGUGUCUAGUACUAUGUCUGUGACCCUAUAUGUCCUGUUGAUGAAGUUAGGUGCUGUUCUGAGCAUUAUUUGUGGCUAUAGAGUGGCGUUUUGGUUGAGCGUG